CCAUAUGGUCGACCUGCAGGCGGCCGCGAAUUCACUAGUGAUUCGUAUUACCGCGGCUGCUGGCACAGAGUUAGCCGGUGCUUAUUCUGUCGGUAACGUCAAGACAGCAACGUAUUAGGUUACUGCCCUUCCUCCCAACUUAAAGUGCUUUACAAUCCGAAGACCUUCUUCACACACGCGGCAUGGCUGGAUCAGGCUUUCGCCCAUUGUCCAAUAUUCCCCACUGCUGCCUCCCGUAGGAGUCUGGACCGUGUCUCAGUUCCAGUGUGACUGAUCAUCCUCUCAGACCAGUUACGGAUCGUCGCCUUGGUGAGCCAUUACCUCACCAACUAGCUAAUCCGACCUAGGCUCAUCUGAUAGCGCAAGGCCCGAAGGUCCCCUGCUUUCUCCCGUAGGACGUAUGCGGUAUUAGCGUCCGUUUCCGAGCGUUAUCCCCCACUACCAGGCAGAUUCCUAGGCAUUACUCACCCGUCCGCCGCUCUCAAGAGAAGCAAGCUUCUCUCUACCGCUCGACUUGCAUGUGUUAGGCCUGCCGCCAGCGUUCAAUCUGAGCCAUGAUCAAACUCUAAUCGAAUUCCCGCGGCCGCC
RNAcentral lists this ribosomal RNA (588 nucleotides) under uncultured Gammaproteobacteria bacterium. RNAcentral's name for it is "partial 16S ribosomal RNA". The record is from RNAcentral. Lineage: Bacteria; Pseudomonadati; Pseudomonadota; Gammaproteobacteria.